This 481-nucleotide ribosomal RNA is filed under the name uncultured bacterium. Its description in RNAcentral is "partial 16S ribosomal RNA". It matches the Rfam family "Bacterial small subunit ribosomal RNA", at positions 28 to 523 of the family's 1533-position model. The record is from RNAcentral.
AGUGAACGCUGGCGGCGUGGAUUAGGCAUGCAAGUCGAGCGAGAACCGUAGCAAUACGGGGACAGCGGCGAAAGGGACAGUAAUGUGUAGGUACCUACCCCGAGGUCUGGGAUAGCUGCGGGAAACUGCAGGUAAUACCGGAUAAUGUCUUCGGACCAAAGGUGUGAUUCCACCUUGGGAGGGGCCUGCAUCCUAUUAGCUAGUUGGCGGGGUAAUGGCCCACCAAGGCAACGAUGGGUAGCGGGUGUGAGAGCACGACCCGCGUCAUUGGGACUGAGACACUGCCCAGACACCUACGGGUGGCUGCAGUCGAGGAUCUUCGGCAAUGGGCGGAAGCCUGACCGAGCGACGCCGCGUGCGGGAUGAAGGCCUUCGGGUUGUAAACCGCUGUCGUAGAGGAGGAAAUGUAGGGGGGUUCUCCCUUCUGUUUGACCUAUUCUAGGAGGAAGUACGGGCUAAGUUCGUGCCAGCCGCGCGGUAA